CAAAUGCAGGUGACAGGAUAAGAUUUUGUUAUCGCCUUCAGAAUUGUUCCAUAUCAAAUGACGUUGAUGUUGCGGAGAGAUAUGAGAAAAUAUGACUUGAUGAUGUAGAAAAAUUUGGGAAUCGCUUAUGUUCAAUCACUUAAAGAGGAGGCAAUUCCAGUUCCCGAUCAACCUGCUAUUACUAAAGAGAAUGUUAGCAUAUCCAAACAAUGGUGUUCUCUAUAUUAAGAUCGUUGUCCCGUUACUGGCAUCAUAUGGUGUCGCGGAGCCAAUUUUUGCGGCUAUUAAUAUGUAGCAAGGAGUUUUCGUGUUUUGAUUGAGAGAGGAACAAAUGAUCCAGUAACCAGUAUUUUGUUAAGAAGAUGACGAAGUCCAAAUGAGAAGACAAGAAGAUAUCAUCCACUUUAGGUUCCGACGUAGAUUUUGGAGUUGGUACUCAAUUUCUCUACCUUUGAAGAACAUGGUGGUACUAAUGGUUUAUCAGCAUCGGAUGAAGCUAGCAAUAAUAAAAGAUCAACAUGAUUAGGCGCAAUUAUUCUCAGCAGGUCGUAAGUAGGAUUGUUGACGUAUCGGCAGCACACUCAUCCUAAAAAAAACUGAAAAAUUAACGUCACUUGGCAAGAGUUCUAAACAAAAGAACCUACAAAAAGUUGUGACCGCUGGGUCAGA
Molecule: long non-coding RNA, 669 nt
Organism: Papaver somniferum (opium poppy)
Lineage: Eukaryota; Viridiplantae; Streptophyta; Magnoliopsida; Ranunculales; Papaveraceae
Exons: 3
Source: RefSeq, a predicted model, not a curated record